RNAcentral lists this ribosomal RNA (305 nucleotides) under uncultured bacterium. RNAcentral's name for it is "bacterial SSU rRNA". It matches the Rfam family "Bacterial small subunit ribosomal RNA", at positions 337 to 634 of the family's 1533-position model. The record is from RNAcentral.
UCCUACGGGACGCAGCAGUAGGGAAUCUUCCACAAUGGGCGAAAGCCUGAUGGAGCAACGCCGCGUGGGUGAAGAAGGUCUUCGGAUCGUAAAACCCUGUUGUUAGAGAAGAAAGUGCGUGAGAGUAACUGUUCACGUUUCGACGGUAUCUAAUCAGAAAGCCACGGCUAACUACGUGCCAGCAGCCGCGGUAAUACGUAGGUGGCAAGCGUUAUCCGGAUUUAUUGGGCGUAAAGGGAACGCAGGCGGGUUUUUAAGUAUGAUGUGAAAUCCUUCGGAUUAACCGGAGUAGGGCUUUGGAAACU